CCAAAGCCAAAACCAGAUGAGGAAAAAAAGAAACAGAGAGAAGAUGAAAAGUAAAAAACACACUAGAUGGCUUUCACAGAGAGACCGAGGGAACCAAAGAAAACAUAGACAGAGAGAGACGCUAGAAAAGGGAAGAGAGGGAGAGCAACGCUGAAAGCUUCUUGAACUUGUUAGUUCCUACAGAUCAUGUGGUAUCGGUUUGGGCCUUAGUUUUCACCCCAACCGCCAUUGCUUCCAAAUAGCCAUUAGAAACAGGUUUUCAGGAACUUCGUAAAUGUAGCCCAACACCGACCAUGCUUUUUCUCUCCUCCACAUGAUCCAUCUUCUGCUUUCGUAACCCAUUUUGAACGAGAGAGAGUUGCAGAGGAUUCGUAACCCAUUUUCAAAGAGAGAGAGUUGCAGAGGAA
Molecule: long non-coding RNA, 407 nt
Filed under: Amborella trichopoda
Lineage: Eukaryota; Viridiplantae; Streptophyta; Magnoliopsida; Amborellales; Amborellaceae
Description: long non-coding RNA (ATRI_LNC003128)
Source: RNAcentral